Molecule: long non-coding RNA, 562 nt
Organism: Pan paniscus (pygmy chimpanzee)
Lineage: Eukaryota; Metazoa; Chordata; Mammalia; Primates; Hominidae
Source: Ensembl
UGAAGCCCUCCCAGAAGGCCCUGUCACUAUAAGCUGAGGACCUCCUUGGGCAAAGACCAACUCUGACUCCAGCUCUGAAUUCCAUUGCAGCCAAAUGGAUUUUUCUCGUCCCUCGGCCCUUGGUUGUUUUUCUUAACAUUUUUUAUUUCCAACCUACCCCUAGGUUUUCAGUGGCUUCCUUUGAAUCAGUAAGCAGCCCUGCCAGUGCAGAGCACGUGCCUUUGCUUCUGCCCCAGUGCCUUCCUAACAGUCCAGAGACAACCAUGCCCCACCAAGCCAAAGCCAGGACACCCUCUGGGUUCCUCAUGCUCUGCCCAAGAACACUGUGCCACAGUGAGUGCCAGCCUCACCAAUUUCUCCAGACAGAAUGCCAAUGCAGAGCCAGGCACUGUCCCGGGGAAGUGAUUUGGCUCUGCCCUUCAGAACAGCCGUGACCACAGUGAUUGUCAUUGAGAUGUGUCAUGAGAACUCAGUGAGAUGAUGCCCAUCACGUUUUUCUAUAACCCUCUAAUUCAGUAGACACAAAAUUAAUCUUCUUUUUACUCUGCUAUCUUUCACUUUC